CCUACGGGAGGCAGCAGUCGGGAAUUUUGGGCAAUGGGGGAAACCCUGACCCAGCAACGCCGCGUGAAGGAUGAAGUAUUUCGGUAUGUAAACUUCGAAAGAAUGGGAAGAAUAAAUGACGGUACCAUUUAUAAGCUCCGGCUAACUACGUGCCAGCAGCCGCGGUAAUACGUAGGGAGCAAGCGUUGUUCGGAUUUACUGGGCGUAAAGGGCGCGUAGGCGGCGCGGUAAGUCACUUGUGAAAUCUCUGGGCUUAACUCAGAACGGCCAAGUGAUACUGCAGUGCUAGAGUGCAGAAAGGGCAAUCGGAAUUCUUGGUGUAGCGGUGAAAUGCGUAGAUAUCAAGAGGAACACCUGAGGCGAAGGCGGGUUGCUAGGCUGACACUGACGCUGAGGCGCGAAAGCCAGGGGAGCAAACGGGAUUAGAUACCCCGGUAGUCCUGGCCCUAAACGAUGAAUACUUGGUGUCUGGAGUUCUAAUACUCCGGGUGCCGUCGCUAACGUUUUUAGUAUUCCGCCUGGGGAGUACGCUCGCAAGAGUGAAACUCAAAGGAAUUGACGG
This 562-nucleotide ribosomal RNA is filed under the name uncultured bacterium. Its description in RNAcentral is "bacterial SSU rRNA". It matches the Rfam family "Bacterial small subunit ribosomal RNA", at positions 338 to 916 of the family's 1533-position model. The record is from RNAcentral.